CGGGACGGGUGAGUAAUGUCUGGGAAACUGCCUGAUGGAGGGGGGAUAACUACUGGAAACGGUAGCUAAUACCGCAUAACGUCGCAAGACCAAAGAGGGGGACCUUCGGGCCUCUUGCCAUCAGAUGUGCCCAGAUGGGAUUAGCUAGUAGGUGGGGUAACGGCUCACCUAGGCGACGAUCCCUAGCUGGUCUGAGAGGAUGACCAGCCACACUGGAACUGAGACACGGUCCAGACUCCUACGGGAGGCAGCAUG
RNAcentral lists this ribosomal RNA (255 nucleotides) under uncultured bacterium. RNAcentral describes it as "partial 16S ribosomal RNA". It matches the Rfam family "Bacterial small subunit ribosomal RNA", at positions 98 to 353 of the family's 1533-position model. The record is from RNAcentral.